AACGAACGCUGGCGGCAUGCUUAACACAUGCAAGUCGAACGAGACCUUCGGGUCUAGUGGCGCACGGGUGCGUAACGCGUGGGAAUCUACCCUUGGGUUCGGAAUAACUCAGAGAAAUUUGAGCUAAUACCGGAUGAUGUCUUCGGACCAAAGAUUUAUCGCCCAGGGACGAGCCCGCGUAGGAUUAGCUAGUUGGUGAGGUAAAAGCUCACCAAGGCGACGAUCCUUAGCUGGUCUGAGAGGAUGAUCAGCCAGACUGGAACUGAGACACGGUCCAGACUCCUACGGGAGGCAGCAGUAAGGAAUCUUCCACAAUGGGGGCAACCCUGAUGGAGCAACGCCGCGUGCAGGAUGAAGGCCCUCGGGUCGUAAACUGCUUUUAUGAGUGAAGAAUAUGACGGUAACUCAUGAAUAAGCACCGGCUAACUACGUGCCAGCAGCCGCGGUCAUACGUAGGGUGCAAGCAUUAUCCGGAGUGACUGGGCGUAAAGAGUUGCGUAGGCGGUUAGUAAAGCGAAUAGUGAAACCUGGUGGCUCAACCAUACAGACUAUUAUUCGAACUCACUAACUCGAGAGUGGUAGAGGUAACUGGAAUUUCUUGUGUAGGAGUGAAAUCCGUAGAUAUAAGAAGGAACACCAAUGGCGUAGGCAGGUUACUGGACCAUUUCUGACGCUAAGGCACGAAAGCGUGGGGAGCGAACGGGAUUAGAUACCCCGGUAGUCCACGCCGUAAACGAUGGAUACUAGCUGUUGGAGGUAUCGACCCCUUCAGUAGCGAAGCUAACGCGUUAAGUAUCCCGCCUGUGGAGUACGGCCGCAAGGCUAAAACAUAAAGGAAUUGACGGGG
Molecule: ribosomal RNA, 847 nt
Filed under: uncultured bacterium
Lineage: Bacteria
Description: bacterial SSU rRNA
Rfam family: Bacterial small subunit ribosomal RNA
Source: RNAcentral